This 347-nucleotide unclassified non-coding RNA is filed under the name soil metagenome. RNAcentral describes it as "partial contains 5.8S ribosomal RNA, internal transcribed spacer 2, and large subunit ribosomal RNA". The stretch from base 1 to 119 matches the Rfam family "5.8S ribosomal RNA", at positions 36 to 154 of the family's 154-position model. The record is from RNAcentral.
AUGAAGAACGUAGCGAAAUGCGAUAAGUAAUGUGAAUUGCAGAAUUCAGUGAAUCAUCGAAUCUUUGAACGCACAUUGCGCCCGCCAGUAUUCUGGCGGGCAUGCCUGUCUGAGCGUCAUUUCAACCCUCAUGCCCCUAGGGCGUGGUGUUGGGGAUCGGCCAAAGCCCGCGAGGGACGGCCGGCCCCUAAAUCUAGUGGCGGACCCGUCGUGGCCUCCUCUGCGAAGUAGUGAUAUUCCGCAUCGGAGAGCGAUGAGCCCCUGCCGUUAAACCCCCAACUUUCCAAGGUUGACCUCAGAUCAGGUAGGAAUACCCGCUGAACUUAAGCAUAUCAAUAAGCGGAGGA